Molecule: ribosomal RNA, 465 nt
Filed under: Vreelandella stevensii
Lineage: Bacteria; Pseudomonadati; Pseudomonadota; Gammaproteobacteria; Oceanospirillales; Halomonadaceae
Description: partial 16S ribosomal RNA
Rfam family: Bacterial small subunit ribosomal RNA
Source: RNAcentral
CCUACGGGAGGCUGCAGUGGGGAAUAUUGGACAAUGGGGGCAACCCUGAUCCAGCCAUGCCGCGUGUGUGAAGAAGGCCCUCGGGUUGUAAAGCACUUUCAGUGAGGAAGAACGCCUGGUGGUUAAUACCCAUCAGGAAAGACAUCACUCACAGAAGAAGCACCGGCUAACUCCGUGCCAGCAGCCGCGGUAAUACGGAGGGUGCGAGCGUUAAUCGGAAUUACUGGGCGUAAAGCGCGCGUAGGUGGCUUGAUAAGCCGGUUGUGAAAGCCCCGGGCUCAACCUGGGAACGGCAUCCGGAACUGUCAAGCUAGAGUGCAGGAGAGGAAGGUAGAAUUCCCGGUGUAGCGGUGAAAUGCGUAGAGAUCGGGAGGAAUACCAGUGGCGAAGGCGGCCUUCUGGACUGACACUGACACUGAGGUGCGAAAGCGUGGGUAGCAAACAGGAUUAGAUACCCCCGUAGUC